AGUGGGGUAGUUCAGUUGGGAGAGCGUCAGACUGAAGAUCUAAAGGUCGCGUGUUCCAUCUACCCCUCACCG
This is a non-coding RNA of Stylosanthes scabra, 72 nucleotides long. Lineage: Eukaryota; Viridiplantae; Streptophyta; Magnoliopsida; Fabales; Fabaceae. The record is from the annotation of a GenBank genome assembly.